Molecule: ribosomal RNA, 252 nt
Filed under: uncultured Bacteroidales bacterium
Lineage: Bacteria; Pseudomonadati; Bacteroidota; Bacteroidia; Bacteroidales
Description: partial 16S ribosomal RNA
Rfam family: Bacterial small subunit ribosomal RNA
Source: RNAcentral
UACGGAGGAUGCGAGCGUUAUCCGGAUUUAUUGGGUUUAAAGGGUGCGUAGGCGGGUUAUCAAGUCAGCGGUAAAAUCGUGGAGCUCAACCCCGUCGAGCCGUUGAAACUGUCAGACUUGAGUUGGCGAGAAGUACGCGGAAUGCGCGGUGUAGCGGUGAAAUGCAUAGAUAUCGCGCAGAACUCCGAUUGCGAAGGCAGCAUACCGGCGCCCUACUGACGCUGAAGCACGAAAGCGUGGGUAUCGAACAGG